This 475-nucleotide ribosomal RNA is filed under the name uncultured archaeon. RNAcentral describes it as "bacterial SSU rRNA". It matches the Rfam family "Archaeal small subunit ribosomal RNA", at positions 348 to 823 of the family's 1478-position model. The record is from RNAcentral.
CUUUACAAUGCUGGCAACAGCGAUAAGGGAACCUCGAGUGCCAGGUUACAAAUCUGGCUGUCGAGAUGCCUAAAAAGCAUUUCAUAGCAAGGGCCGGGCAAGACCGGUGCCAGCCGCCGCGGUAACACCGGCGGCUCGAGUGGUAACCGUUAUUAUUGGGUCUAAAGGGUCUGUAGCCGGCCGGAUAAGUCUCUUGAGAAAUCUGGCAGCUUAACUGUCAGGCUUUCAGGAGAUACUGUCUGGCUCGAGGCCGGGAGAGGUGAGAGGUACUUCAGGGGUAGGGGUGAAAUCUUGUAAUCCUUGAAGGACCACCAGUGGCGAAGGCGUCUCACCAGAACGGACCUGACGGCAAGGGACGAAAGCUAGGGGCACGAACCGGAUUAGAUACCCGGGUAGUCCUAGCCGUAAACGAUACUCGCUAGGUGUCGGCCACGGUGCGACCGUUGUCGGUGCCGUAGGGAAGCCGUGAAGCGAG